UAUGCAUUGAAAAUAGGUUUGGUCUAUAAUUUUUUAUUAAUAGUUUUUAAUAAUUCUCCUCUCAAUAGGCUCCAGUCUUGAUACAUGUAACAGUACUUGGUUCUCAUAAAGGUUACCUCCUCCUCAUCCCAGCAACAAUCUAAUGGCCCUCUCUUCAGUCUUCAUGAAGUCCUUUCAGUAUGAUCAUACCCUUACACAAUAUGUCGGGAAGUUGAACGAUGCUCUUUUAAAUGGCCGCUGUCAUUCACUGUGUUGGUCUACAGUGUCUCUAAUGCCAUGAUCAUUGCUGCCAUUCAUCCACUGGAAUACUGUAGAAUGUUAUAACACUCCAGAUGGUCCCUCUGUCUUACAAACUCUGUCUUUGUCUUCAUUUCAUAAAAUCUGGGUCUCUCCUGAUUUAGGAGUCUCUCUUAAUUCAUUGGAUCAAUGUUCCCUCCCACUCAAUGCACUGGAGACUGGAACUGAGACAUAGUGUCAUUCUUCCGCCGUGGCUACUAUAAAUUUCAGCUCAAGUUGACAGGGGUUACUAUUCGAGGGUGGUCACUAUUCGAGAGCGGCUACUAUUUCUCUCCUAGCGAUAGCACAUGUGGCUGGUCACACCUGCACGUGAUCGCACUCAUCACUCACCACGAGUAGUGCGCACCAUUGUGUAGAAAUCGAGCAAACUCGAGCUAAACAUUGGGAGACAUGGAAAUUGAUAGUGUUGCAGAGGCCACCAUGUCUACAAGACAAUAUGGAACCCAGUAAUGAAAGAAACUAUAGGUCUUGCCGGAGAACAACAAUGAGCACACGUGGCGCAUUAAUUAAUGGUUUAAUGGACAGGAUUGUAUUAUCAUCAAAAUCAGGGGACAUGUCAUGCUAUGUUGCUAGAGUUUUUAAAGAGGAUUAACUCCACUGAAGAGUAUCAUUCAACUUGAUCCUUGCCUGCGUCACAUGUGUGGGUGUGUAUCAGGGGCUGGUGGUAUUGUAAGUGAUGGAGAAAAACUGAUACUGACUACUGAGAGUGAAUAAGAAGAAGCUAAACCAGUCACUGUAAGGUUUGCUAAAGCUGGAGCUAAUGAUUAACAUAAGGUGGAGCCUGAGGAACUUUUGAAAGCUGUAAGCUCUUAAUUUAUUGGGUCAAUGUUCCUUCCCACUCAAUCCACUGGAGACUGGAACUGAGACAUAGUGUCAUUCUUCCUUAGGAAUAGAGGCAGACAUACAAGCAUGAAAACAUUUUACUGGAUCUCCUCUGUGUCUCUCAUCUAUAUCCACUAGUCUAGGAUCAUAUAAUCCUAACUGUAGACCUAGUCUGUGCCAUACAGAACAGGACAAGUGUUGAUCUGAUGUUAAUUCUUUAAUGACAAUAUCAA
Long non-coding RNA from Amphimedon queenslandica, 1352 nucleotides. RefSeq lists it as uncharacterized. The record is from RefSeq and is a predicted model, not a curated record. The transcript is spliced from 8 exons. NCBI's taxonomy places the organism in Eukaryota, Metazoa, Porifera, Demospongiae, Haplosclerida, Niphatidae.